This 441-nucleotide ribosomal RNA is filed under the name uncultured bacterium. RNAcentral's name for it is "bacterial SSU rRNA". It matches the Rfam family "Bacterial small subunit ribosomal RNA", at positions 958 to 1397 of the family's 1533-position model. The record is from RNAcentral.
AACGCGAAGAACCUUACCUGGGCUCGAAAUGCAGGAGACCGGGGUAGAAAUAUCCCUUCCUCGCAAGAGGCUGCUGUAUAGGUGCUGCAUGGCUGUCGUCAGCUCGUGUCGUGAGAUGUUGGGUUAAGUCCCGCAACGAGCGCAACCCUCAUCCCUAGUUGCCACCGGGUAAUGCCGAGCACUCUAGUGAAACCGCCCCGGAUAACGGGGAGGAAGGUGGGGAUGACGUCAAGUCAGCAUGGCCUUUAUGUCCAGGGCUACACACGUGUUACAAUGCAUGGUACAGACCGUUGCAAACCCGCGAGGGGGAGCUAACCGGAAAAAACCAUGCUCAGUUCGGAUUGCAGUCUGCAACUCGACUGCAUGAAGCCGGAAUCGCUAGUAAUGGCGUAUCAGAACGACGCCGUGAAUACGUUCCCGGGCCUUGUACACACCGCACGA